CCUUUGGAGUAUUAUAUCAAACACGAGUAGAUUUUUCGAAAGUGGAUACUAUGAAUAAGGAA
RNAcentral lists this non-coding RNA (62 nucleotides) under unclassified sequences. Its description in RNAcentral is "RAGATH-18 RNA". It matches the Rfam family "RAGATH-18 RNA". Rfam says of the family: Actinobacteria, Firmicutes, Fusobacteria, Thermotogae (1 example). Nearby to self-cleaving ribozyme genes The record is from Rfam by way of RNAcentral.